AAACGCAGAAGAAAAUUUUGCAUUAGCUGCAUAAGCUACGUCCCUCAUACUUGUGCCUACCAAGUGUGAAUGGACGUCAAACCGUAGGCUGGCUUAAUUCAGUUGUUCAUAUGAAUUAGGCGAGACAACAUGAACUGGGGUUGUGUAGCUUGUCUGUGAGCGGUAGCAACCUGAGAUCUUAAUCAUAGACUGUGCUCGGAGAAGUCUAUAUGGCAACACUUUUGGACAGGGGUUCGACUCCCCUCAUCUCCACCA
Molecule: transfer-messenger RNA, 255 nt
Filed under: Veillonella sp.
Lineage: Bacteria; Bacillati; Bacillota; Negativicutes; Veillonellales; Veillonellaceae
Description: partial transfer-messenger RNA
Rfam family: transfer-messenger RNA
About the family: Bacterial tmRNA, also known as 10Sa RNA or SsrA, is named for its dual tRNA and mRNA-like properties. Its role is to liberate the mRNA from a stalled ribosome.
Source: RNAcentral